Long non-coding RNA from Gallus gallus (chicken), 4257 nucleotides. RefSeq lists it as uncharacterized. The record is from RefSeq and is a predicted model, not a curated record. NCBI's taxonomy places the organism in Eukaryota, Metazoa, Chordata, Aves, Galliformes, Phasianidae. The transcript is spliced from 2 exons.
GGGACACCUUCCAGUAUAUCAGGUUACCCAAAGCCCCAUCCAGCCUAACCUUGAACACUCCCAGGGUUAAGGCAUUCACAGCCUCUGUAUGCAAACUGUUCCAGUGCCUCACCACCCUCAUAUUGAAGAAUUUCUUUCCAAUGUCUAAUCUAAAACUACUCUCCCUAGAUUAAAAGCUAUUCCCUCUUGUCCUAUCACUUAAUGCCUUUGUAAAGAGUUCUCUCUGGCUUUCUUGUAGUCCCCUGUUUUAGAUACUGGAAUGUCAUUAUCAGGUCUCCCCCAAGCCUUUUUUUCUCCAGGAUGAACAGCCCCAGCUCUCACCCUGUCUAGAUUUGAAUCCAAACCAUGUUACUAAGUCCCUGCCUAGAGGAGAACAGAUUUAGAUUUUUUUUCCCCAGGAAAUUAAAAAGAUUAACAGAGUUUCAGUCAUAAAUCUAGCCUCAUACUUGGUAACAGAACUAUAGGAUAUGUUUAAAGUGUUCAGAUUCAGAAAACUUAACAUACUCUUAAGCAAACUCCCAUCUUUAAAAAUAGAGUAAAUCUUUAACUGAUAUCUUCAUAAAUCUCACAUGUUCAUAUUUGUGUUUUUAUUUGGGAUUGAAAACACUGAUGAAACCAUAUAGAGCUCUAACUGAAAAUUACCACUUACCUUUGGCAGCAGGACUGCAUCUGCAGACUAUGCUGAAAUGCUGAUGUACAUGUCCCUGACUCAUCCCAUUUAAAAAUAAUACUGAGGGUUCUGGCAGAUGUCUUGUAGCAGCUUCCAGUGGUUAUUACAAUAUAAAGGUGAGCAACUGCCUAAACACAGAACCCAAUUGCUGACAGCUGAUAGGAAUAAUUGUUGGAGCAAAUCUUUGAAUAGUGGGUCUUAGAAUAUAAACUGUCGUGCCCAAUUUCACUGACUGACAGUUUUUAGUAUUUGAGUAGGUAAAGCACUGUGAAAAUUCUUCACUUCAUAAGCAUUUUGAAAGUGAUUUUUGACAUAUAAACUUUUGGCAGCAAUUUUCAAGGGGGUCAUCUAAAAUGACUGAUACAGUAGUUAGUGUGAUGCAGGCAUAGCACAUUUAACAGUCACUGAGCUUCGAAUAUGACACAGUAUGAUCCUAAUUACAGCACUGCUAGCAAGGCAUAAAGAAGUUGCUCAUAGUGCUUGACAUGUAUUUUAUGACUAUGAAAAAAGAAAGACUUCAACUAGUAAAAUUAGGACAGAGCACAAAGCUUUGCUACAUUUUACAGAUAAGAAAAUGACAUUUACUGGCAUGAAAAAGAUGUUGAAAAGGGAAAAUAAGGUAAAUCCCAACUUGGGUUGUUUUUGGGGAUUCUGAGUUAUAUAUAUUCUAAAUUAUGUAUAAUCUAUAUGUCACAAAUGUCACAAAAUAUUUACAGCAUAUUGCAGUUUAGGUUUUCCUACAUGCUAAGAAAUAUGGAAGUUGAAGCAACAAGAUUUGGAUUCUGGGGCCAGCUCCCAUGCCAAAAUUCAGUGGUGUGAGGAAUUGCUUCUGUUAGGUGUUCUCUUAUUAUAGCAAUGGACAUUAUUUAUAUCAAGAGUGACCUUGGCUCUAUGGUUUUAAUUCUGUUCCACUGAUGGCUUUUCACUUGAACUGCUCAAUUCACAUGGACCUGAUGAGUCAUUUUUGUGAAUACUUUUACAGCUACAAAAUGGCUAAUUAAAUAGCUGUGUAAAAUUCUUCCUGGAAAUAUUCUUUCUGAAGGGAAUCUAGUGAGCUUUCUUACUGUGUUUUGUACACGUAUGCAAAGGGUGAGAUCCAGAAAAAUUACCUUUGGCAUAAGACCUACAGAAAAUAUUUCAGAUCUGACCUUCUUUUCCCUAAAAAACAUCCCAAUCAGUUUUCUGCACCAUUUCUCUAUUUUUUAAAAUUGAUAGCACAUUUUCUUAUGUGCAAUUAAAUUUUAAAGGAUAAAUAUUUGUUUAGAACAGAUUUUCAGUUGUUUUCUUUUUCUCCUCUUGAAUUUACUAUUCAAGCCUCUGUCUUCUAUUGUCAUUUUUUCUUCUUCACCUUUUAGAAAAAGAAACAUUUUACAUCCCAGAUUCAUGAAUCCUUCUGAGGCAUGAUGUUUUAAAGCUGGGCUGGUGGACCUGAAGUCAUGAUGAUCAGCAAAGUACAGGAACUGAGAGUCUGUGUUGAAGAAAGCCAUUGGAUCAAGACUUUCAGAGAUUGAACUGUCUUCGUAUUUAAAAAAGUGUCCACCUUAAAGCCAAGAUUAAGGUCUCGGGCAGGGCCGGAUUCAAAGGAUUCAGUGGAUACAUAUCAUUCUGGGCUGGUUGUGUGUUACAGAUAAAAGUUUAUUUGCCAUGAAGACAGUAGAUUUUUCUGGGCAGAACACACAGCCAGAAAAGAUGAGCAGAUAUUGAAUUUCCUUAUUGGUUUUGUUAGUUAAAAAAGAAAAUUGGAUUGGUUACACCCAUAUGGUAUUUUGCAUAAUGUAUUUAUAAUGUAAUUAUAUUUAUUAAUGAUAUAUGAAUAUUGCUAUUAAGGUUCAUAUUUACAGAUUAAAAAAAAAUCUUCAUUAAGUUAUCUUUCAAAGAAAAUCCCCAUGAAUAAUCUCAAAGUCAAAAAUGUGCUCAUGGAAACAAGUGAGAUAUUAUUUCACCCUUGUAUUUCUUCUCAUCCAUAUAUACACCUUUUUAAACAACAUGUGUCAUGUCUGCACUCAGCAGUGACGCGGAAACCAGAGGCUAAAAGCUCUGGAAUAAGAAACAGCCUGUGUUAGCAAAUAGCCCUGAAACUAGUACAAAGGGAGAGUGCUCCCAAAUGCAAACUUCUGCAUCAGAAUUGUGUGCUGCACCAUUAAUGGCCCUGAUCAGCAUUAACUGUGGCUCUGCUCUAAGGUGUAAACCUCAAAUGGCAAGGCAAACAAUGCCCUGAAGACUUCAUAACACUGAGAGGUCAACUGGUCAGCACAGCAAUAAAGGACACAUAGUAAGUUACAAAUACAGAGCAGUGAAACGUGACUGUGUUUCUUUUCGUCAGUCCUUUCCUUUACCAGAGGCAUCUAAAGGUAAUGCAAAAGCAAUUGAAAACAAAAUAAUCAAGAGAUCACUCUGGCAAUCUUGAGGUAAGAUCACUGUUUCCAAUUAUUUUCCUCACAGUAAAACUGGGACAAGGAGAGAGGGUUUGCAUAGGCUUUAUUUACCAGACCUGCUGUUCAAUACAGUCCUGGUGGAAGGAAUUAUUGCUAGCAGAGCAUAUCACAGCCACCCAGCUAAGUACACCUAUGCUGCAAGUUCAGUACAUACCAAAUCAAGGACUGAAGAAGAGCCAAGCUACCUUUUCUGAUGAGCUGUAUUUUAUGCUCCUCAACUGCAAUCUACUAGCUCCACAGUCCAAAUUCCAGUAUGUACCAACAUUAUCUGCCAAGUGCUAGAAAAGUUUAGAACAGCUGAGGAAAAGCUCAAACAGUGAACAGCACUAGGUAUUAGUUACACAAGCCUGAUAUUCCUUCAUUGCUGAGCACCAAAAGAUCCCAGUUGUUGGCAGCCAGAGUUUUUUAUUUCUUUUCAUAGAAAAUGGUUGACAGUAAUUCUACCUACAGCUAAGCUGCUUCAGGAAUAAGUACCAAAAGGAGAUGAAUGGCACACAGACUUCGAGCUGGAAGCUGAGGUGAGCUAUAUAGAACAGAAAGAAGAUAUUGAAGGUCAUGCUCUAUGGUUAUCAGUACACUUUCUGAAUAGCAACACAGAAAUAGAAAAAAUCAUUUGAAAUCAAGAUUUCUUUAAAACAGGAAAGAGGAACAGUGAGGCACUUUUAUAUCUUGGUAUCACUCUAAUAAAUUCUACUGCAACAUACAAAAAGAAACAUUAAGAUGCAAUUCUACUUUGAAUGUAUGCAUAUAAUUGGCUCAAAUAUUAUCCAUAGUAAAACCAAGAGGAAACACUGACAUUAGUAUGACCAAUAUUUCAUACAGCAUGUGCUAAAUAGGUAACAUACUCACUUGACCAAAUAUGUAUGUGAAUAUUGUAACAUCACGGUGAAUUCUUGCAUAUUAAUCUUAUAUUGUUGAAUCCUUGCAUCUUAAUCUUAUAUUGUUAUCCUUCUAGGUUUUUUGUUUGUUUGUUUGUUUGUUUUUGUGGGUUUUCCUUUUGUGUUUUUGUUAGUUUUCUGUUCUUUUUUUAUUAUUAUUAUUCUUAAGAUCAUGCCAUUUCUCAUUACCAGAAAUUUGAAUACUCUUAUGAUUUUGAUUAAAAUCUUCUUAGAAGAAAUAAAUAGGAUGCAGUAGGCUGAAGAACUAUAGAAA